UAUGUUUUUCCGAGGCAACUCGUGUCGAACAGGGCUGAAAGAUGUUCAAACUUGACCCUUUAGAGGAAGUAAAAGUCGUAACAAGGUUUCCGUAGGUGAACCUGCGGAAGGAUCAUAAUCGAUUUAAACAUAUACCGUCCAAAAACGGCAUAUUUUUACAAAAUAAAGCCUUUAACAGGCAAAAAUAAAGUACAUGUGAAAAAGACGGGUACCUGAAGAAGGCUCAAAGCAUUUCGCCCGACUUCUCUCACAGCACAUACAAAAUAUCUAGUAACCUCGGUAGUCGGAAAAUAUUCGAAAAGCUAAAAUUCUGCGAAAGCAAAGAACAGAAGCGCUCGAAGAACACAAAGUGUCAUUAUUAUGACCCUGAACGGUGGAUCACUCGGCCCGUGGAUCGAUGAAGAGCGCAGCAAAGUGCGCUAAUCCAUGCGAACCGCAGAACACAUGGAGCAUCGAAAUCUUGAACGUAAAUGGCGGCCCAGCUUCACUGCUCGGGCCACAUCUGACUGAGGGUCGGUAGAUUGAUGAACGAUUAUUCUGGGUGCUGAGAGGAAAGUCAUUUCCCUCGAUACCUUAAAUCCAAGUGGUCUACGAUCGAUGGGAGGCAUCAUAGAGUCAAAGCAGCACCGAAGUGUCUGGAGCUCACUUUACUCUUUGCUAUAAACCUCGUCGAUCUCCAAGACUGUAAAUGCUAAGUACAGACUGAAAGUUUGCCCAUAAGGCGUUUGAGGCAGUGUAUAGUCUCGGACGGUACGUGUGUGUUUGUCUGUACGCCGGGCGUGUCGGGAAACUGACCACCGCGACGAGACAGCCGUAUCGAGACAAAACAUUGACGAGCCCGUCGGUAGCUUAAGUCGCUAGAGUACGAAGCGCUAAUCUAAUCAUCUGACCUCAGUUUAGGUGAGACUACCCGCUGAACUUAAGCAUAUCAGUAAGCGGAGGAAAAGAAACUAACAAGGAUUCCCUUAGUAGCGGCGAGCGAACAGGGAAGAGCCCAGCACCGAAUCCCGCGCCCUGCAAAGAGGACGCAGAGAAAUGUGGUGUUUGGGAGGGCCGUGCGCGCCUGUCCGGUAUUAGCCCAAGUUCUCAUGAACGAGACGAGCAACCCGUAGAGGGUGUCAGGCCCGUCGAUAGCUAGCCGC
RNAcentral lists this ribosomal RNA (1142 nucleotides) under Bosmina tanakai. Its description in RNAcentral is "Bosmina sp. DJT-2008 eukaryotic LSU rRNA". The stretch from base 887 to 1142 matches the Rfam family "Eukaryotic large subunit ribosomal RNA", at positions 1 to 236 of the family's 3401-position model. Lineage: Eukaryota; Metazoa; Arthropoda; Branchiopoda; Diplostraca; Bosminidae. The record is from RNAcentral.